AGGAGUUUGAUCAUGGCUCAGAAUCAACGCUGGCGGCGUGCUUAACACAUGCAAGUCGAGCGCGAAAGCGGCUUCGGCCGUUAGUAGAGCGGCGGACGGGUGAGGAACACGUGGGUAACCUACCCUCGGAUGGGGAAUAACCCAGGGAAACUUGGGCUAAUUCCGCAUGAUAUCCAUAGCUCGCAAGGGCAUUGGAUCAAAGCUGGGGACCCUUCGGGGCCUGGCGUCUGAGGAGGGGCCCGCGGCCGAUUAGCUUGUUGGUGAGGUAACGGCCCACCAAGGCUCCGAUCGGUAGCCGGCCUAAGAGGGCGGACGGCCACACUGGGACUGAGACACGGCCCAGACUCCUACGGGAGGCAGCAGUGGGGAAUUUUUGUCAAUGGGGGAAACCUUGAACAAGCAACGCCGCGUGGAGGAUGAAGACCCUCGGGUCGUAAACUCCUGUCGGAGGGGACGAAACCGGUUGUAGUUAAUACCUGCGAUCAUUGACGGUACCCUACGAGGAAGCCCCGGCUAACUCCGUGCCAGCAGCCGCGGUAAUACGGGGGGGGCAAGCGUUGUUCGGAAUUACUGGGCGUAAAGCGCGCGCAGGCGGCCCGGCAAGUCCUACGUGAAAUCCCACAGCUUAACUGUGGAACUGCGUGGGAUACUGCCAGGCUUGAGUCCGGAGANGAGAGUGGAAUUCCCAGUGCAGCGGUGAAAUGCGUAGAUAUUGGGAGGAACACCGGUGGCGAAGGCGGCUCUCUGGACCGGUACUGACGCUGAGCGCGA
Molecule: ribosomal RNA, 771 nt
Filed under: uncultured Acidobacterium sp.
Lineage: Bacteria; Pseudomonadati; Acidobacteriota; Terriglobia; Terriglobales; Acidobacteriaceae
Description: bacterial SSU rRNA
Rfam family: Bacterial small subunit ribosomal RNA
Source: RNAcentral